Molecule: long non-coding RNA, 913 nt
Filed under: Phascolarctos cinereus (koala)
Lineage: Eukaryota; Metazoa; Chordata; Mammalia; Diprotodontia; Phascolarctidae
Description: lncRNA (ENSPCIG00000032658.1)
Source: RNAcentral
AUUUAGAAGCCUGCUUAGCUUCAGCUCUCUCUUCUAAACAUUUCCAUGGAAACCAAGGAAGUUCUUGUCCACUAUAUUCAAGAAUUUUAUGAAGUAACAUUGUUAAACUCUCAAAAAAGCUGUGAACAGAAAAUACAAGAAGCAAAUCAAGUUGCAGAGAAAUUAGAAAAGAAAACAUUUCUUGUGUCAACCCAUGAAAGUCUUCAAAAAGCUUCAGCAGAGCUAACAGGUUUCAGUGGAUCAGAGGGAAAUGCUUUAUGUGAUGAACAAAAUAAAGAGAACCAGUGUUUGGAAAAUCAGACUGAUGACAAGAAGAUAAAGGUAAGAAUUGAGGCAUUUUGUUUGUUUCCAUUGUUACUGAGUCAGGUUUUUUUUUCUUUGCUGUCUCUUGUGAUGUUUUUGGGAAAUAUUUAUUUUUCAAAAUUUUCAGUUUCAUUUUUCAUAAUAGAGUAACUUUACAUGUUUGGGGAAAGACAUUUUGCUGUGAUAAGGUCAAGAAGAGCAGGAAUGUAUGAUUUACUUCACGUCUUUGACUGGGUUGGAACACUACCUUCUUCAUGAUCCUGAACGUGUCUUAUCGUGAGUGAUGGAUUUUUCCCAUUUGGGGCUUUGUGUUUGAGUGAGUGGGAAGCUUUGUUUCUACAUUUUACUUGUUAAAUGAUUGAUAUUUUAAACUAAACACAACUUCACAGGUUUCAUGCAGUCUUAUCCAGCCUUCACCCUCAGCCCACACUUUGGACUAUGUUCCAUUCCUCCAUGACCCUCUGAAUCCUGUAAGAGGCCAUUUGGGUAGUCGCCACCCAUUUUGGUUUAGGUAGGGCAUAUGCAAAUGAUCUUGAAAUGGCCAUGAAAAGAUCAGAUUUUAUGGGAUAUUUGCUGUAAAUGUUUAUAGAAUACUUUCUAUAGAUUUAGG